UACGGGGGGGGCAAGCGUUGUUCGGAAUUACUGGGCGUAAAGGGCUCGUAGGCGGCCAACUAAGUCAGACGUGAAAUCCCUCGGCUUAACCGGGGAACUGCGGCUGAUACUGGAUGGCUUGAGUUUGGGAGAGGGAUGCGGAAUUCCAGGUGUAGCGGUGAAAUGCGUAGAUAUCUGGAGGAACCCCGGUGGCGAAGGCGGCAUCCCGGGCUAACACUGACGCUGAGUGAGCGAAAGCCAGGGGAGCAAACGGG
Molecule: ribosomal RNA, 254 nt
Filed under: uncultured bacterium
Lineage: Bacteria
Description: partial 16S ribosomal RNA
Rfam family: Bacterial small subunit ribosomal RNA
Source: RNAcentral